UACGUAAGGGGCAAGCGUUGUUCGGAAUUAUUGGGCGUAAAGGGCGUGUAGGCGGUUUUGUAAGCCCGAUGUGAAAUACCACAGCUCAACUGUGGACCCGCGUCGGGAACUGUAAGACUAGAGUUCAGGAAGGGAAGCUGGAAUUCCUGGUGUAGGGGUGAAAUCUGUAGAUAUCAGGAAGAACACCGAUGGCGAAGGCAAGCUUCUAGACAUGGACUGACGCUGAGGCGCGAAAGCGUGGGGAGCGAACAGGAUUAGAUACCCCCGUA
This 269-nucleotide ribosomal RNA is filed under the name uncultured prokaryote. Its description in RNAcentral is "partial 16S ribosomal RNA". It matches the Rfam family "Bacterial small subunit ribosomal RNA", at positions 524 to 792 of the family's 1533-position model. The record is from RNAcentral.